UACGUAGGGUGCAGGCGUUAAUCGGAAUUACUGGGCGUAAAGCGUGCGCAGGCGGUCUUUUAAGUCAGAUGUGAAAUCCCCGGGCUUAACCUGGGAACUGCGUUUGAAACUGGAAGGCUAGAGUGUGGCAGAGGGGGGUGGAAUUCCACGUGUAGCAGUGAAAUGCGUAGAUAUCGAGAGGAACACCUGCGGCGAAGGCGGGUUGCUGGGCCGACACUGACGCUGAGGCGCGAAAGCCAGGGGAGCGAACGGG
Molecule: ribosomal RNA, 253 nt
Filed under: uncultured bacterium
Lineage: Bacteria
Description: partial 16S ribosomal RNA
Rfam family: Bacterial small subunit ribosomal RNA
Source: RNAcentral